Molecule: long non-coding RNA, 944 nt
Organism: Peromyscus leucopus (white-footed mouse)
Lineage: Eukaryota; Metazoa; Chordata; Mammalia; Rodentia; Cricetidae
Exons: 3
Source: RefSeq, a predicted model, not a curated record
GCAGGCGAGGGGACGCGGCAGGGGAAGGAGAACGCCGUACCCAAGCUGCCUGCCUUUUCUUCCUGUCUUCCUUUCUGGAGAGGUUAAGACCAGGCUUUCCAUGUGCACCUGAAUCCUCCCAUGUCUCCCCACUGCUCCAAGUGCACAAGUCCUGCUCUCUGCUUAGGAAGACUGAUCUGCGCGGGAAAAUCAUUCUAUACCAGACUCAACAAGAGUGACAUGACUGACCCCUGUGUAAUCAUGCACCAAGAAACCCUGCUGAGUUACCACUCCUGGCUGCAUUCACUCACCGAAGAUCAUAUGUCUUGAUAAGUGGCUUCCCAUCACAGUCUGUUUAAAGUUUUCAGUCAAGCCCUUCUCUCUGAUGCUCCCUGCCUGAUACUGACUCUGGGAUGAUACAGGAGCAUAAUGGUGUGCCACCACCCUGCUCACAUCUUUGUAACUUGCCAUAUAUAAAAAUGUCCCAGCUGUGUCCUCUUUUUCCUGCUGGGACAGGGGCAGGAUAGGUACUAGGUUCUAUGACCCCCCUUCCCAUCCCUCACUCAUGUGUCCUGGUCUCCCUCUAUGUCAUUGUGUCACUUUAGUGAUUUUGCCUAGUUGUUCUCACUGACCAGCUCUUUGCCGCUCUUUGCCUUGGUGGGUUUCUAACCUACAGGAGGCAGAAUCCCUGAGUGGCUUGGCUGUCUCUUGGAGAACUCAUUUCCUGAUCUUUAUGUAGAAUUUGUGAUGUGAGUAGCUGGAUUCCACACUUUUAUCUGGCCUCUGGUAACAGGGUUCCUGCAUACUUAGCAGCUCACAGCCUGUGAGCUCCCAAGUUUACCAGACAUCCUCCAUACCUUCAUGUCCAGCACCAUGACCCCAUUGCUUACUCCCUGUAGUUGGAAUUUUCUUUGGGCCACCAACCAGCUCCAAAUAAAGACAUGGAGAAUUCUUAUUAAUUAUGA